Schistosoma margrebowiei is the source of this 46-nucleotide non-coding RNA. Lineage: Eukaryota; Metazoa; Platyhelminthes; Trematoda; Strigeidida; Schistosomatidae. The record is from Rfam.
ACACUGUUGAGGAGUCACACAACAGGACGAAACGGCCGUCCAGUGU